CACGCCACUGCCUUUUCAACCAAGCGCGAUGAACAAUUGUGCGAAUCAACGGUUCCUCUCGUACUAGGUUGAAUUACUAUUGCGAUACUGUCAUCAGUAGGGUAAAACUAACCUAUC
Molecule: long non-coding RNA, 117 nt
Organism: Impatiens glandulifera
Lineage: Eukaryota; Viridiplantae; Streptophyta; Magnoliopsida; Ericales; Balsaminaceae
Exons: 3
Source: RefSeq, a predicted model, not a curated record